RNAcentral lists this ribosomal RNA (923 nucleotides) under uncultured bacterium. RNAcentral's name for it is "bacterial SSU rRNA". It matches the Rfam family "Bacterial small subunit ribosomal RNA", at positions 63 to 999 of the family's 1533-position model. The record is from RNAcentral.
CGAAAGAGAUUUCGGUCAAUGGAGAGGACUACUCAUUGGCGGACGGGUGAGUAACGCGUGAGGAACCUGCCUUUCAGUGGGGGACAACAGUUGGAAACGACUGCUAAUACCGCAUAACGUAUUUGUGUCGCAUGGCAUGGAUACCAAAGAUUUAUCGCUGAGAGAUGGCCUCGCGUCUGAUUAGCUAGUUGGUAGGGUAACGGCCUACCAAGGCGACGAUCAGUAGCCGGACUGAGAGGUUGGCCGGCCACAUUGGGACUGAGAUACGGCCCAGACUCCUACGGGAGGCAGCAGUGGGGAAUAUUGGGCAAUGGGCGCAAGCCUGACCCAGCAACGCCGCGUGAAGGAAGAAGGCUUUCGGGUUGUAAACUUCUUUUGACAGGGAAGAGCAGAAGACGGUACCUGUCGAAUAAGCCACGGCUAACUACGUGCCAGCAGCCGCGGUAAUACGUAGGUGGCAAGCGUUGUCCGGAUUUACUGGGUGUAAAGGGCGUGUAGCCGGGCUGACAAGUCAGAUGUGAAAUCCGGGGGCUCAACCCCCGAACUGCAUUUGAAACUGUUGGUCUUGAGUAUCGGAGAGGCAGGCGGAAUUCCUAGUGUAGCGGUGAAAUGCGUAGAUAUUAGGAGGAACACCAGUGGCGAAGGCGGCCUGCUGGACGACAACUGACGGUGAGGCGCGAAAGCGUGGGGAGCAAACAGGAUUAGAUACCCUGCUAGUCCACGCUGUAAACGAUGGAUACUAGGUGUGCGGGGACUGACCCCCUGCGUGCCGCAGCUAACGCAAUAAGUAUCCCACCUGGGGAGUACGAUCGCAAGGUUGAAACUCAAAGGAAUUGACGGGGGCCCGCACAAGCGGUGGAUUAUGUGGUUUAAUUCGAUGCAACGCGAAGAACCUUACCAGGGCUUGACAUCCUACUAACGAA